Ciona intestinalis (vase tunicate) is the source of this 99-nucleotide microRNA precursor. The record is from Ensembl. Lineage: Eukaryota; Metazoa; Chordata; Ascidiacea; Phlebobranchia; Cionidae.
UGGAACUUACUAAUGAACAGGCUUGUGUACAGCUUAGCACUAUUUUCGAAUGUUGGUGCUAGCUCGUUGAUAUAAACAGCCUGUUGUAAGUAAGCUCCA